AUACGACAAUUUUGAUGGGGAAGCAAGGAAGGCCAAAGGAAGUCGUCAUGGGUUUCUUGGAAGGACAUAACACAACCAAAGUUUCUGGGUGGAUUGGGAUUCAGGGAUUUCGAGCUCUUCAACCUAGCGCUGCUUGCUAAGCAAGCAUGGCACGUUCUACAAUAUCCUGACACUCUUUGUCCCAUGAUGCUGAAAGCUAUUUUUUUCCCUGCUAGUAAUAUUUUGUCAGCCAAACUUGGGAACCAUCCUUCAAAAAUAUGGCGAGCAAUAAUUGAAGGAAGAGAUGUAUUGCGCCAAGGCUUGAUCCAAAGAGUUGGGGACGGUUUAGGAGAACUGGAUCACUAG
RNAcentral lists this ribosomal RNA (345 nucleotides) under Triticum aestivum (bread wheat). RNAcentral describes it as "partial small subunit ribosomal RNA". Lineage: Eukaryota; Viridiplantae; Streptophyta; Magnoliopsida; Poales; Poaceae. The record is from RNAcentral.